CACAAACCACUCCUCUCUGCAUUGUACUGGCUGUGGAACACCUGUCUCUUCACUUUCAUCAAAUUCAGAGCACCCUCACUAACCAAAUAAGUUAUUGGUAAAGAAAGCCAAACAACUUCUCAGAAUAAAAAGAUCAUUUGUAAGCUGACAAUGAUUCCAGCUUCUAACCCAGCACUCAGCCAGCUAGCUUCUUGGACUGUAGCUCCCAAAACCUGGCACUGAGGAUGAAGGUGAGACUGCAAGCAAGCCUUAUGAACGCUUCCAUUUACAGUAACCAGAUGAUGGAACCUAUGUAACAACCUUCCUACAGGUCACUGAGACCAGGUAGGUGUCAGCCAGCUGAGAGACUUCAAAGAAUAAUGAAGAGGACAUCUGAAAUGAGCAAGCACACGACGGGUGCGGAGCAAAGACUUCAGAAAUCCCCCCAGGCCUUUCUUGGAUC
Numida meleagris (helmeted guineafowl) is the source of this 442-nucleotide long non-coding RNA. RefSeq lists it as uncharacterized. The transcript has 3 exons. NCBI's taxonomy places the organism in Eukaryota, Metazoa, Chordata, Aves, Galliformes, Numididae. The record is from RefSeq and is a predicted model, not a curated record.